UGGGGAAUAUUGGACAAUGGGCGAAAGCCUGAUCCAGCAAUGCUGCGUGAGUGAUGAAGGCCUUAGGGUUGUAAAGCUCUUUUACCCGGGAUGAUAAUGACAGUACCGGGAGAAUAAGCCCCGGCUAACUCCGUGCCAGCAGCCGCGGUAAUACGGAGGGGGCUAGCGUUGUUCGGAAUUACUGGGCGUAAAGCGCACGUAGGCGGCUUUGUAAGUUAGAGGUGAAAGCCCGGAGCUCAACUCCGGAAUUGCCUUUAAGACUGCAUCGCUAGAACGUUGGAGAGGUAAGUGGAAUUCCGAGUGUAGAGGUGAAAUUCGUAGAUAUUCGGAAGAACACCAGUGGCGAAGGCGACUUACUGGACAACUGUUGACGCUGAGGUGCGAAUGCGUGGGGAGCAAACAGGAUUAGAUACCCUGGUAGUCCACGCCGUAAACGAUGAUGACUAGCUGUCGGGGCUCUUGGAGUUUCGGUGGCGCAGCUAACGCGUUAAGUCAUCCGCCG
Molecule: ribosomal RNA, 502 nt
Filed under: uncultured Pseudomonadota bacterium
Lineage: Bacteria; Pseudomonadati; Pseudomonadota
Description: bacterial SSU rRNA
Rfam family: Bacterial small subunit ribosomal RNA
Source: RNAcentral